UACGGAAGGCAGCAGGGGGGAAGUAUUGCACAAUGGGCGCAAGCCUGAUGCAGCCAUGCCGCGUGUAUGAAGAAGGCCUUCGGGUUGUAAAGUACUUUCAGUCGUGAGGAAGGUGUUAAGGUUAAUAACCUUAGCAAUUGACGUUAGCGACAGAAAAAGCACCGGCUAACUCCGUGCCAGCAGCCGCGGUAAUACGGAGGGUGCGAGCGUUAAUCGGAAUUACUGGGCGUAAAGGGCACGCAGGCGGUUAAUUAAGUUGGAUGUGAAAUCCCCGGGCUUAACCUGGGAAUGGCAUUCAAGACUGGUUAGCUAGAGUCUUGUAGAGGGGGUAGAAUUCCAUGUGUAGCGGUGAAAUGCGUAGAGAUGUGGAGGAUACCGGUGGCGAAGGCGGCCCCUGGACAAGACUGACGCUCAUGUGCGAAAGCGUGGGGAGCAAAC
RNAcentral lists this ribosomal RNA (438 nucleotides) under uncultured bacterium. Its description in RNAcentral is "bacterial SSU rRNA". It matches the Rfam family "Bacterial small subunit ribosomal RNA", at positions 340 to 773 of the family's 1533-position model. The record is from RNAcentral.